Molecule: ribosomal RNA, 776 nt
Filed under: uncultured Neocallimastigales
Lineage: Eukaryota; Fungi; Neocallimastigomycota; Neocallimastigomycetes; Neocallimastigales
Description: partial large subunit ribosomal RNA
Rfam family: Eukaryotic large subunit ribosomal RNA
Source: RNAcentral
AGAGAGAGACAUGCGCGCAUAUCAAUAAGCGGAGGAAAAGAAACUAACAAGGAUUCCCCUAGUAACGGCGAGUGAAGCGGGAAGAGCUCAAAUUUGAAAUCUUAAAGGGUUUCCCUUUACGAAUUGUAGUUUAAAGAAGUGUUUUCUGUUGAGGUUUUGGUAAAAGUUCUUUGGAAUAGGACAUCAUAGAGGGUGAGAAUCCCGUAUUUGACCUUUACUUUCAACUUUGUGAUACACUUUCAAAGAGUCGGAUUGUUUGGGAAUGCAGUCCAAAAUGGGUGGUAAAUUUCAUCUAAAGCUAAAUAUUGGCGAGAGACCGAUAGCGAACAAGUACCGUGAGGGAAAGAUGAAAAGAACUUUGAAAAGAGAGUUAAACAGUACGCUGAAAUUGUCAAAAGGGAAGCGUUUGACACCAGUGUUGUUUUUCUGAAAAUCAAUUAAAGAACUGUUUAUGCUAAGCUUGUUUAGACUUUAUCAGCUAACUGUUUAGUUUUGAGCUUUUCUUUAAUGCACUUUUCAGUUAACAAGUCAACAUCAAUUUCUUUUGCUGUAAAAAAGCUUGAGGAAGGUGGCUUGAGAUUCGUCUUAAGUGUUUAUAGCCUCUUGCCUAUGCAGUCGGAGAGAUUGAGGCCUGCAGCGUAGAUCCUUCGGGGCUAAAUGCAUUUGUGCUAAGUUAUAGCAUUUUAUAGACAACUUGUUGACUAUGAUUUGUCUUGUAGCUUACUCGCUUAUGUUAUUUUACCUACGCUUAGGAUGUUGACGCAUGAGAUAUACGC